Molecule: non-coding RNA, 4407 nt
Organism: Lactuca sativa (garden lettuce)
Lineage: Eukaryota; Viridiplantae; Streptophyta; Magnoliopsida; Asterales; Asteraceae
Source: RefSeq, a predicted model, not a curated record
CUCAACACGUGUUAUUUUCAUUUUCCUUCACCGUUUUGUCGCCCAAUGUUUAGAUUUCUGUUUCUGAACCUUUCUCCACCGCCUCAUCUCAACACCGUCUAUUGUACCAUCUGCUCCCCCACCCACUGUCUCCAUUUACGUCUCCUCCACCGAUUAGCGUAAGUGGGAGAAGAAGACGCCUCCACCGAUUCCACUCAAUAUCGGUAAGUGGGAGAAGAUGUCCACAGAUCAGCGAUGAAUGGAUCGACAACGCCUUCCAUCAUCUUCACCAGGUCGAUGGUUCUUCUGCUUCACGCAACCGUCCGGUUACCCGACUUCUCUCUCUCUCUCUCUCUCUCUCUCUCUCUCUCUCUCUCUCUCUCUCUCUCUCCUUUAAUUCUUUUCUUCUGCAAUUCCUUUCUGCAAUUCUGAUCCCGACUGUCCAGUUACCCACUUCUGUUGUUUCUCUUUAUUUUUAUCUAUUCCUUCGUUUUGGGGUACGAUUUCGUCGCCCUACAGAGGAUUGAUGCAAAAUAACUUCAAAUCACAGGAAUAGAUUUGGGGAAAGGUUUCAUCAGAGAUAACAACAGGUGAGAUUCGAUCUUUAGAAACACAACACAGCUACGAACGAAGAGAAAAUAUGGGAGAAGAACAACAACAUCAAGACGAGAAAGCGAACAAGGACUUAGGUCAGUUCUCAAAACCAACUAUACAGUGGUUAAAGUAAUUUCGCAGUUUAUACAUGUUUUGUUGUAACUUGGGAUGCCACUGUUCAACCAAUUUACUCUUUUUCCUGUAUGUUUCAUACAUUACUUUUAUCUGUGGUAAAUUACAUGAUGAAGUCAGCAACACAGGGCAGGGCGAGCUGGGCCACUGCCCAGGGCAUCAUUACGAAGAGGGGCAUAACGAUUUGUCUACCUCUUAUGGGCAUAUAAACUUUCGGCACAAAUUUUGCUCCAUAGACAUGAGGCAUCCGACACAGUGAAGCACAGAAGCAGCAAAAUGCAGCUGCCAAUCACGCUAAAAAAUCAGAAAACGUGGAGUCGAUCAUGCGAAAUAAUCACGCCUAAAAUCAGAAAUCGAUUGCCCCAGUAUUGCAAGCUAACGCUUAAACCGGACGAUUUUGCCCUUGAUAUGAAUUUGGUUGAGGACUUUAUCUAGAGCUGCCGACUGGAAUGUACUUUUGAUCCAAGUUGGACAAUUUUGCCCCUGAAGAUGGUAUUUGCAAUUUCAAGUGGAUUUAGGUGUUGCUUGUAAUCUUGCUGAGCUGUUAUGCUAGUAGGUGUUAUCUCAACUAUAUAAAUGCAAUUUCAAGUGCAUUUUGAUCAUCUAUUUGUACAAGUCAUUGCCAUUAAAAAUGUUAUUUUAUAAUGGUUCUUCAAUGUUUUUCCACUUCGCUUGGUUUUUAGUUUAAUAGGAUUGGAAUACUUUUAGAAAUUAGUCUUCGACUAAUAGUCUAAAUAUUGAUAUGGAAUUGAAAAACAAAUGUAUUUGGGCUAUUUUGUUUGGUUUUUAAUUUGGUUGUUUGUUAAUGGGAUUACUGUAUUCUGUUUAAGCUAAUAGGAUUAGGAUUUAGGGCCAUUUUUUUUUUUACUUUUUGAGUCAAGUUUAUAAAUUACUCUGUAUCAUCCAACUUCAAAUCUGUUAAUUUUUUUCGGUAACUUUGUUUUGAAAGGUCUAAAUAAAAAUUGACUCUAAAUAAAAACUUUAUUAGUAUUUUUGUUUAUAAAUUUAUGUUGCGUAUGAUUUAUGUUGCGUAUGGGUUUGGUCUAUAUAUAUAGGGGCAUUAUCGAGUCUCUUUCGCCCAGGGCACGAAAAACGAAUAGACCAUCCCUGAACACAUGUAUUUCAUUGUACAUAUAUUAACAUCAAUUUUUUAAACCAUUCAUUUGUUAGAAGAACUCCCAAAAGAUAAUGAAAAUUUGAUGAUUUACAUGGUCUGUUAUCUAGCAAGCCAGGUACCAUUUUUUGUUUUCUAUAUUUUUUUUUAGUUAUAUCUUCUACUAUGAAAUCAUAUUUGUAGGUAUUUUCACAUUCAUCCAUUAGUAUCACAUCUAUGUGCAUCAAUCUACUGUACAAGCCCAGGUUCUUUAGUUCUACAUCCUUUCAAGCAGAUAAAUUGCUUGCUAAUCUUUUGGAGCCACUAAUAUGUGAAGUCUUCAUCGAAUAUUCACAAAUUUCAGCCUGGAAAGAAUAAAUUAGAGUCCACUGAGGAUGUUGGAGCAAAGAAUAAAUUAGAGUACACUGAAAAAGAUCUGAAAGAAAAAGAAGAGGAACUUCAAGAUUUUGAAGCGCUUAAUGCCUUAAUCAAGCAUUGAUAAUCAAAUAAAGAUCAACCAAUGAUUAAUUACAGGGUGCUCACAAAGAGUUGAUUUCUAAGCUUUGUCUAAACGGAUUCUUGAUUUGAUGAUAUUUGGAUGGAAUUACUAGGGAAAAUUUAGCAAGUCGCCUCCAAAUAUCUGUCUGCCGACAUGGUCAUGACACAACAGUUAUAGUAGCUCUACAAUUUUGCAUGUAGCAGUUGGCUAAGAAACUAAUGAAUUUGCUAGAAGAUAAUAAAGGUACAAUAUGGUCAACUUUCUUUAUAUAUUUAUUUGGUUUUUAAAGCCUAAACCCUUUUGGCACAUAUCUGUCAAAAUUUGUAACGAAACUAUAUGUUACUUGCUCUUAAAGUUGGGGAUUAAUUGAGUCUAUUUUCUCUAAAAGUUUGGGAUCAAUUGAUUCUAUUUCACUAAUUGUUGAUUACAUUUCUGUAUCAAGUCGUUCAAUUUUAGCAUAUGACACAUGAUAAAUUAGUAUUUACAUUGGUGGUGAUUCAAGCAAGUUUUUGAUGUGCCUAAGAUUUGUAAAUCGUCCUUUUAAGUGUAAAAAUGACUAGAGUGCAAGUAAUCUCAAAAUCUAUGUUUUUGUGCUUAUUGCAAACUGUGGGGUUAGUUUUUGAGGUUAAGCCUAUUGCAUUUCAGAUUAACCACACGUAUUUUUUUUUAUUGAAUUAAACACCAACAAAUUUCAGUUUGUAGAAUUUGAGACCAUGUGUUAUAUAUUUAUUAAUAUGCUUUUUUGAAACUAAACAUAUUUAAAUUUGUUUUAAAGUUCAAACUUAGUUUUGGGGCACAAAAGAAGGACGACAACGUUUUGGUGCUUGAUUUGGUCCUUUUGUAUACCUGAUUUUUAUAACUUUUGUUGCAAAAAUUCAGUUGUAGUUUUGGUCAUUUUUCUGAAGUGUCGUAACAAUUUUGAUCCUUUGUACCAAAUAAAUGACUAUAGUUGUAUUUUUUUACUCUUAAAUAAAUAUUUGUGAUUUAAUCUAAUUUUGUGAAUUCAAAGUUAUACUAAAUAACAAAUUUCUAUAAAAAAUAAAAAUAAAAAAAAGGUAAAUAUAGUCAUUUUUCAUGGAAGGAGGACGAAAAUCAUUAAGGGAACUGAAAUAAGGAACAAUAUUGCAGAACCUGACCAAAAUCAGGCCUAAUUGACCAAAAAUGUAAUUUACACUUCGGGAUUAUAUGUUCAGAAGUCGAUAUUAAUAUCUUUAAGUGAUAUUAUUGAUAUAUUGUUGUUAACUAUAUUUUUUUAUUACUCUAAAGUUUGUAAUACUAUUUCAGGUUCAUACAUUGUUAACAGGAAACCCAUACGAAUUGUGUCAAAUAAAAACUUUGUAAACGUGUUUAUACAACAACAAAGACAAUUGCUUGAAUUAAUAUUGAAGUAGAUUUAGGAUGUUUGAAUGCAGAGGACGAACAAAACGAGAAUUACCAAAUUUCAUGGUAAGAAAAUCCAAAUCACAAUGGGACAAAUUAUAUUAUGUACUUUUGAAUACCAAUUGGUUCAUUUGGAAGUACUCAAUGAUCUGAAUUGAGAAUAUGAUAGAUGAAUUUUUAUUGAAUCCUAACACAAAAAAUAUAUUUUGAAGUGCAUCAGGUAUGAUAUUAGUCUUCAAUAUAAACAAACAAAAUGUUAAAAUGGUCAUUUACUACUUUUUUGUUUCUGUCAAGUUCAGGCCCUUGCAUCUGAAAGAGAACUUAUAUUCAUGUUGCUCAACCCAAAUGAUCCAACAAUGGAGCACAUAAAUUCCAAUAAUUUUCAUAGCACAUUUGCUGCUUUGAAUCCAUCCUUCUAGAGCAAUUGAUCAGAACAGAACAGAGAAAGCUAUAAUGUUUUUUGUGGAUUAAGAAGUGGAGUUGUUAAGACUAUUGAGACUCGCCAAAAAUUUGAUGAUAAUGAGAGUAUAUUUGUCUUUUUUCUUUUGGCAGUUGUAUACAUCUUAUUCUACUCUUUUUGGAUACAAUAUUUGAUCUCCUAUAAAAAGAUGUAAAAACAUGACAUUUAACCUAUUUUGCUUGCUUUGUGUGUUUGUAAUAUUAGAUGAAUAAGUGGAUUUAACUUGAUUUUGCUGUGUGGUCAAUAAAAACUAUUAUCUCACAUUCUUUA